Heterocephalus glaber (naked mole-rat) is the source of this 4373-nucleotide non-coding RNA. Lineage: Eukaryota; Metazoa; Chordata; Mammalia; Rodentia; Bathyergidae. The record is from RefSeq and is a predicted model, not a curated record.
UUACAUAUGUUUUUAGUUGGUGUAACUGAAAAAAACCACCUUAAAUGAGCUUGCAUUACAGGUUUGGGCACGACUUGAUCAAGGCCACAGCUGUGUGUUCCGGGGCUCUUGACUGCCUUCUGUCCUUGCUCCUUUCUCCCUCAGACUGGCAGUGUCCUUGACAACAAGGUCCUGCCAGUGUGUGCAGCCAUAUACUCCCUGCUCACUCUUGAAGAGAACAGUAUCAAUUCCCACAGCCGAAGGACAAAAAUCCUUAGCUUCCUGGUGGUAGACCAGAGGUACGGAAAUCCCCAUGACCAGGAAAUGUGGGGCACCGGUUAAACGAGGCCUGUGUUAAUGAACCCAGUCAACAGAAUAUAAUUAAACUACUCGAGAGGCUCCAUAGACACUACAGACAAGGUGAGACCAACCCACAUACACAGCUGCUACUGAAGAGGAUAGAAAUAGGAGGGAAAAAUGGAAACAGCUUCUGUAAAUAAGGAGGGGAAGAGGGGUUGAAGGGAGGGGAGAGGCAUGGGGAAAAAACGAAGCCAGAUAUAUCACGCACAGGUACAAAUUCUCUACGAUGAAUGUUAGCAUUAUUUAUAUCUAAAAUGUACCAAAGAAAUAAAAAAAAUCGCGAAGGUGUCAAUGAAGUGGAGGAAAAGUAUGUCCCAGGGAUCAAGAAGGACUGGGUAGAAGGCUUGGCCUUUGAGCUGCAGAGGAAAGGGGUUGGGGCUGAGUCCGGCCGGGAUGGAGGGUGCCUUGCGAGUGGGCUGGUCACAGGACAGUAAAGGACCCUGCAGACGGAAAUAUGACCGGGAGAAUCCUGUGUGAGAAGCAGCACGGUUGAUGUGCUAGAGACUAAGUAGUCGGUCUAUAAAGGCCCAGGGUACCCGGGAGUAGGGGAGACAGAAGACGGCGGAAUGGAGAAAUCUGGAUAUGGUAUCAGUCGAACCCGGCAGGCAUCAGAUGGUACGACACUCUCAGGCAGGGUAAUUCGGAGAGGGUAAGCGAGGUGAAGCAAGCAGCUGUUUACAAACCAUUGCCUUCCCGAUCCGGAGGAGAACGCGGGAACCAACACCGAGCUACCCGGGACUUUGCCGGGGGUCAGCAAGGAGGAUCUGGGACCUCCGGUGCAGGGACGCUGCCUGCUCUCGGGAGCCUGGCUUGCAGGGGUCUGGGAAACAAUAUCCCAACGUCUCUCCCCUUUGUCAAUACUGGUGGCUUUCAAUCGUUUAACUAAAAAAGGGAAAGGGAGUCCACCGGGACAAUCGCCACAGAUCAGUAUCCUAGAUCCAAGAACAGAGUGAGAAAGAAGUGGGAAUUAGACCCAGAGGAACAAACAGAAAAUACUCGCAGAGAAGGAGGGACAGACGUUUGGGGAACUAACAGAAACUGAUCCUGAGGCUGGAGCGACGCCAGGGGAGGUUUGACGGCUAGGAGCAGUUCUGGCCUCUAGAGGGCAUGCAAGGAUCGCGCUCGCCUUCUACCCACGACCCAAGUAGGAGAAAAAGGGAUGCUGCGGAGGGAAACACUCAAGACAGCUCUUGGCUAGGGGACAGGGCCAGAAGAAAAGGGAUUGCCUCUGGAAUGGGAGCUCACCCCUCUGCACUUAGAUUCAUGGCACUUGGAUUGAUUUUUAAUAAUAAAGCUAAUACUUAGGGUUUAGCAUGUGCUAAGUUCUUGACUCCCAUCCAGCACAGCCCUUUAGUCUAAAGUACCAUCAUAAUUAUGUUUUAAAGAGACGGACGGAGCCUGGAUUUAAACCCACUUACACAGAGCCACUCUCUGCUCCUUUUUGCUCCCAUUCUGCUGGUUUAGCCAACCUAAGAAAACCAGGGCAAGGCCCAUGGAGAAGAGACCAGGGGAUGCUUGCUGGUAGGACUUGUGUUCCUUCAACAAUCUUCAGCGCAUAUUCAGAGACUGAGCACUCACUACCUGCCAGACUCAGAUCGGGGUCCAAGGACACCCAGGUGAACAAGGCAGGAGGCACCGCGGUGCAGGAAGAGCGUGGCUGAGCCCACUGGAGUCCUGGAUCUGCUUUAUACUAUCUGUGAGGCCCAGGAAACGUCACAGAUGUGUGCUGCUGUUCUACCUAAACACCAUCCACCAUUGGAGCUGCUUCGGGAGAGAGAGACAGAGGAACAAGAUCAGUUCUUGGCCAAACGCAAGGGAGCCCAACCAGCCACCCUCCUCCUUCAGCAAGGCCUGAGGCUGUAAGACCAGAAGGACUUCUGGAGGCUUCACUCUGUCCAGCCCAGCUUUUGAGUUUGGGCUCGAAGCUCUAAUUCAGGGCGCUAGCUGGCUCCUUGGAUGUGAAGCUAGGUGUUCCUCCUCAGUGGGGUGAGCCAAGCCUUCGCUCACACAGGCUUCAGGUCCUGAGUGUCCCUGCCUUCCGUGAGUCGCUGCUGUUUCCCAGUCUGAGGAGAGCCCGGAGAUUCUGCCUUUCCAAUAAAGUUCCAGCUGAUGCUGAUGCCAUACUUGUGGGUCACACAGAGCAAAAUUAUAACUCUGUGUUGUCAAUAUGGGAGCCCUCAGACUCAUGCAGCCACUGCAUCCUUGAAAUGUGACUAGUGUACCUGAAAAAUGAAAAUUUCACUGUACAGUGGUACCUCAGGUCAAGAACUUCUUUCCAUGAUUCUGGUUGCAAAAUGAAUUGGAUGAGAACAGAAUCAAAUGUCCCCAUAAGGUCAACAUCGAACCUAACUAUUGAAUUUGAUUCAGUUCUUGUCCAAUUCAGAUUGCUAUCAGAGUCAUGGAAGCAAUUAAGUUUGUGAACCACUGUAAUUUUUAAUUUUAAAAAACUGGAUACUUGGUUCAGUUAUUGGAAAACAAUUUUUAGUGUACUUGGAACAAAUCAUGAAUUUAUCUUUUCUGCUGUUAAUUUUAGGAGAUUUAAAUAACCAAGCAUGCAUUUCCAAUGAAAAUUUGUCUGAAUUGAGAUAUUCUCUUAAGUGUAAAAUAAACAUAUUUUGAAGACUUACUUUUUAUUUUAUUUUAUUUUUUUGGUACCGGGGAUCAUACUGGAGACCUUGCACUUGUGAAGCAGGUGGCAGAACCACUGAGCUAAAUCCCUGGCCCUUGAAGACUUAUUUUUUAAAAAAGGAAUGUACUUAAAAUAUUUUGUUAAUAAAUUGUCUAUCGAUCGUAUAUUGAAUUGUAAUACAGUUCUUUGAAUUGUAAAAUUGUGGAUAUGCUCAGUUAAAACAGAUUAUUAAAAUUGAUUUCUUCUGUCCUUAUUUUUUAAAAAUAUGGCUGGUUGAAAAGUUAAAAUUCCACAUGUGGCUUGCUUUGAGUCUUGCUGGACAAUUCAGAUACAGAGCGGUAAGCCAGGAGCUGGCUUUCCUGUCAGUGUGUUCUUCCUGUCUAGAUUCAGGCGUGGCCUCUGGCUGGGAAGAGGAAGUGAGGCAGUGGAAAGGACAGCUUUCUUGCUUCCCUGCAAGAGGCUGUGGAAAAAACACAACAUGCACAGCAGGUUUGUCAGCUCACAGACUAUUUCUUCAUAGUGGGUUAGUUCCACUCCAUUCCAUGGCAGGCUCUGCUUUUUUUGAGAGGUGCAAAAGACGUGUCAGCAGUCUGGAGGGGACUGCUCAAAGCUGGCUCUCAACACAAGAUGCUCACUUCUUAAGAGUUAAGGGUCAUGGCAAAGGGUUCACUCAACCCAACCUCCUCAGUGACAUGAAGGGAAGUUAACUGAAACAACAUGGGCUCUUGCGAAUGUGCUGCACUGUCUCCUGGCCAACUCAGUAAUUCCAAAGGAGGCUAAAACAUUUCAUGAAGAACAGUAAUGAAGACAUCCGCAAAUCUGACAAUAACCAAGACAUUUGCAGAAAGAAAUAUGCAGAACUUGGAGUUAGUUUCCUCAUACUACAAAUUACAUUAUGGUAACUUCACUCCCUCACUCUUGUAAAAAAACAUUUUUUUUAACCAACUCAGUCAAAUAUUUACAUGUAGAAUCAGAACUGGCAGCAAAUUCAAAGAAAACUAUUAAGACUGGGAAGAGUUGCUUCUGUAUCAGAGGCUUGAGACUCACGGUCUUAAUUAACCUUUCUAAAUAAGAACUGAUGGCCUUGGAUGGAAAAUGUGGGGAGACUAAAAUGUGUUUGAAGAAUGUUUGACUACAAAGUAAAUAGCCUGAAUAAAAAUUAUUAAAUUAGCUGCUGCCUCCACAUUCCAUAAAACUGAAUACACAGUAAAAUGCAUCGUAUAGUCAAAGGCUUGGAUAAAAGAAAUCACGAAACAAUCUGAGUUCAGUGACGAUCCAAACUUCAUGGAAUUAGUUGUUAGAUCUUGAUAUAAAGCUGUUCAGCUGGCAUAAUAUUAGACAUGCUUAUCUCUUUUCCUUUCUGUCACUCAAUCCAUCAGGAAACAUUUAUUAGGUAUAUUCUUCA